GCGCCCAGAGGUCAAUUGGAUAGAGCGUCUGGCUACGGACCAGAAGGUUGUGGAUUCGAGCUCUGCUGGGCGCGCCA
This 77-nucleotide transfer RNA is filed under the name Clostridia bacterium. RNAcentral describes it as "tRNA-Arg". It matches the Rfam family "tRNA". From Rfam's summary of the family: Transfer RNA (tRNA) molecules are approximately 80 nucleotides in length. Their secondary structure includes four short double-helical elements and three loops (D, anti-codon, and T loops). Further hydrogen bonds mediate the characteristic L-shaped molecular structure. tRNAs have two regions of fundamental functional importance: the anti-codon, which is responsible for specific mRNA codon recognition, and the 3' end, to which the tRNAs corresponding amino acid is attached (by aminoacyl-tRNA synthetases). tRNAs cope with the degeneracy of the genetic code in two manners: having more than one tRNA (with a specific anti-codon) for a particular amino acid; and 'wobble' base-pairing, i.e. permitting non-standard base-pairing at the 3rd anti-codon position. The record is from RNAcentral. Lineage: Bacteria; Bacillati; Bacillota; Clostridia.